Molecule: long non-coding RNA, 1214 nt
Organism: Salvia miltiorrhiza (redroot sage)
Lineage: Eukaryota; Viridiplantae; Streptophyta; Magnoliopsida; Lamiales; Lamiaceae
Exons: 4
Source: RefSeq, a predicted model, not a curated record
CCCUAGGCCUAUCAAAUUAGUUCCCAAUUCCCAUCUAGGGUUUUCGCAUCCUCCCCCUCCCAUUCCCUCCGCCUUCCCUUCACCUUCUCGCAUCAGUCCGCCGCCACCCGCGCCGCUCCUUCUGCAUGCCACCGCACGCCGCCCUCACCCCAGCCGUGUGCCCAUUGGCCCCCUUUCUCGGUGGCCGUGGCGUGGGUAAAGGAGGCCGGAUUGAGCUUCGCCAGUCGCCCCAAGGCCAAGUUGCGCCCUGCCUCGCUAGAAUCCAGACGGCCACCGCGAUUCAAACAAUCAGACGCUGGCCGCAGUAGCAGGAAAUGCGAGCCUUCCCUCUGCCUCAAUUGAUCUGGCGAAUGCUCUUCCCUUGCCUCAAUCGGUCCGGCGCGAGGCGAUUCAACGAUCAGAUGCCGCAGUAGCAGGAAUCGCGAGCAGACGCAUCGGCGCCGCACACGCAUCAGGUCUGCCGGGAGCAGACCUCGUCAUCCGCUGAACUCAGCCACCUCCACUGAUUUGCAAUGGUUUUCAAAUUGAGAAAUGGGCGGCUUGCGUGGAGGACUGUGAGGCGUUAUUGAGGGAGAAUCCGGAAAAUAAGGAAAUCGCGAGGAUGAUGAAGGAGACGGAGGUGCAACUGAGGAAGGGAGGCGCCGCCCAGGAGUUGAAAUGCGCUGGCGGGGAUGCUGCUGGCUUGCUCGUGGUGGCCAGCAGUGAGCAUUUUAGGGACUUUGUGGCUUCUUCUGGAUUCUGAAUCCAAAAACUAUACGAUUUUAGGUUCAACAAUGAGCUGGAUUCAAUCCAUUUUUCAAUUAAGAACGCCUCAAAGCUAGUUAAGAAAAUUGGUAGGCAGGUUGCAACUGAUCGGUGUAUCAUGGCUCUCCUAUUCCUUAUUGUUGUCGGUGUCAUAGCUAUCAUUAUUGUGAAGGUCAGAUGCCUGUUUGCUUUCCUGUUUUGCUCAUAUUUUACUGUGGAAAAUUUAUGGAAAUAUGUAUAUUUUCUUCUAAAAACCAUGAACUUUCCUGUUACUUGAUCAUCUAUGAACUCAUAUGUAUAAUCUAUGAAGGCAUAGCACUUUGUUUUUCUUGGAUGUCAUCUGUUUCAGAUUCGAGCCUUGUUAACGAGGUCAAUAAGUUUACUCUAGCUGGUUUUGUGUCAUAAUUGACUUGUCAUACUUGUAAUCUAGGCUAUCAAUAUGUUAAGCAUUACAAAUGGUUUCAAUGUUG